GCUUAACACAUGCAAGUCGAGGGGCAGCAUGGUCUUAGCUUGCUAAGGCCGAUGGCGACCGGCGCACGGGUGAGUAACACGUAUCCAACCUGCCGUCUACUCUUGGACAGCCUUCUGAAAGGAAGAUUAAUACAAGAUGGCAUCAUGAGUCCACAUGUUCACAUGAUUAAAGGUAUUCCGGUAGACGAUGGGGAUGCGUUCCAUUAGAUAGUAGGCGGGGUAACGGCCCACCUAGUCUUCGAUGGAUAGGGGUUCUGAGAGGAAGGUCCCCCACAUUGGAACUGAGACACGGUCCAAACUCCUACGGGAGGCAGCAGUGAGGAAUAUUGGUCAAUGGGCGAGAGCCUGAACCAGCCAAGUAGCGUGAAGGAUGACUGCCCUAUGGGUUGUAAACUUCUUUUAUAAAGGAAUAAAGUCGGGUAUGCAUACCCGUUUGCAUGUACUUUAUGAAUAAGGAUCGGCUAACUCCGUGCCAGCAGCCGCGGUAAUACGGAGGAUCCGAGCGUUAUCCGGAUUUAUUGGGUUUAAAGGGAGCGUAGAUGGAUGUUUAAGUCAGUUGUGAAAGUUUGCGGCUCAACCGUAAAAUUGCAGUUGAUACUGGAUAUCUUGAGUGCAGUUGAGGCAGGCGGAAUUCGUGGUGUAGCGGUGAAAUGCUUAGAUAUCACGAAGAACUCCGAUUGCGAAGGCAGCCUGCUAAGCUGCAACUGACAUUGAGGCUCGAAGGUGUGGGUAUCAAACAGGAUUAGAUACCCUGGUAGUCCACACGGUAAAAGGAUGAAUACUCGCUGUUUGCGGAUAUACGGCAAGCGGCCAAGCGAAAGCGUUAAGUAUUCCACCUGGGGAGUACGCCGGCAGCGGUGGAAACUCAAAGGAAUUGACGGGGGCCCGCACAAGCGGAGGAACAUGUGGUUUAAUUCGAUGAUACGCGAGGAACCUUACCCGGGCUUAAAUUGCAGAUGAAUUACGGUGAAAGCCGUAAGCCGCAAGGCAUCUGUGAAGGUGCUGCAUGGUUGUCGUCAGCUCGUGCCGUGAGGUGUCGGCUUAAGUGCCAUAACGAGCGCAACCCUUGUUGUCAGUUACUAACAGGUUCCGCUGAGGACUCUGACAAGACUGCCAUCGUAAGAUGUGAGGAAGGUGGGGAUGACGUCAAAUCAGCACGGCCCUUACGUCCGGGGCUACACACGUGUUACAAUGGGGGGUACAGAGGGCCGCUACCACGCGAGUGGAUGCCAAUCCCCAAAACCUCUCUCAGUUCGGACUGGAGUCUGCAACCCGACUCCACGAAGCUGGAUUCGCUAGUAAUCGCGCAUCAGCCACGGCGCGGUGAAUACGUUCCCGGGCCUUGUACACACCGCCCGUCAAGCCAUGGGAGCCGGGGGUACCUGAAGUGCGUAACCGCGAGGAGCGCCCUAGGGUAAAACUGGUGACUGGGGCUAAGU
This 1439-nucleotide ribosomal RNA is filed under the name uncultured organism. Its description in RNAcentral is "SSU rRNA". It matches the Rfam family "Bacterial small subunit ribosomal RNA". The record is from RNAcentral.